Molecule: transfer RNA, 73 nt
Filed under: Dysgonamonadaceae bacterium
Lineage: Bacteria; Pseudomonadati; Bacteroidota; Bacteroidia; Bacteroidales; Dysgonomonadaceae
Description: tRNA-Lys
Rfam family: tRNA
About the family: Transfer RNA (tRNA) molecules are approximately 80 nucleotides in length. Their secondary structure includes four short double-helical elements and three loops (D, anti-codon, and T loops).
Source: RNAcentral
GAUUCACUAGCUCAGCUGGUAGAGCACAUCCCUUUUAAGGAUGGGGUCCUGGGUUCGAGCCCCAGGUGAAUCA